GAGAUCCCUCCCUGGUGGAACUAUCCCUCGUGAAUCUGGAAUCUUCUGAUUUGGAAAAGGAUGCUGAAAUGGAUCCAGAAAACCAAGACUGGAAUAGGUCAGCCUUACCUCGUGUCAAUGUGAGUGGCUGAGGCCAAGAGUAGGACAAUGCAUUUCUACAGAAAGUGUGCUUUGGGACAGCUGAAGAUCUAAUUCCAUGAAGAUAUUUCUGAGAAACUGUGUGAAAAUAUUAAGCAAAUGAAAAAUAAGCCAUGCAAAUUUAGUAGAUCAGGAAAUCUGAGAAGCAGAAUAGUUAAUUCUCAUUUCAUUGGAUUCUUUUUGAACUUCUUCCUUAAAAACUGACUUAGAUAAGAAGAAAGGGUUAAAUGAGAGGAUGGGACCAUAGGUAGAAAAGAACGCCUACUUGUGAAUAAAAUAGUUCUGACCAUUCCAUAACAUAAUUGAAGGCUGAGCUAGCUAUUACACAGCACCAACUGAUUUAAUUUGACUGAAAAACCAGAAAACUCUCUGAUCACCCAGUUGUAUAAUUGACUUAAGGAGUGUAAAUAACAUGUUUCUCUUUCCAUUUGCUUUUCCUUCUUUAUUUCUGGAAAGAAUGUUGCAAAUUAGUGGAAGCAAAGGUCUGCUACUUUGCAAUGUUUAUUUUUGACAAAUGGAGGCUCUGUUCAUGAAGAGGGCACUAUGUGACUUAAAUUUGACCAAGUCCACUUUAAUAAAACACCUAGAAUAUAA
Long non-coding RNA from Coturnix japonica (Japanese quail), 732 nucleotides. RefSeq lists it as uncharacterized. The record is from RefSeq and is a predicted model, not a curated record. Lineage: Eukaryota; Metazoa; Chordata; Aves; Galliformes; Phasianidae.